CUUUAAAAGUAGCGGAUGGGUGAUAAACGCGGGACCAACCUUCCUUACCCAAUGGGAUAACCCAUUGGAAACGAUGAUUAAAACCCAUAUGAGACCUGGAAGAAGCAUUUUUUGCAGGUUAAAAUUUAGGGAAGUGUAAGAUGGGGCUCGCGUUUGAUUAGCCAGUUUGGAGAGGUAACGGUUCACCAAGACGACGAAUGGGGUUAGCCCGGCCUGAGAGGGUGAACGGCCACACUGGAACUGAGACACGGUCCAGACUCCUACGGGAGGCAGCAGUGGGGAAAUAUUGCACAAUGGAGGAAACUCUGAUGCAGCGACGCCGCGUGAACGAUGAAAGCUUUCGAGUCGUAAAGUUCUGUCCUUGGGGACGAUAAUGACGGUACCCAAGGAGGAAGCCCCGGCUAACUACGUGCCAGCAGCCGCGGUAAUACGUAGGGGGCAAGCGUUGUCCGGAAUUAUUGGGCGUAAAGGGUUCGCAGGUGGCCUUUUAAGUCAGAUGUGAAAGAUCAAGGCUUAACCUUGGUAAGCAUUUGAAACUGAAAGGCUUGAGUUAAGGAGAGGAAAGUGGAAUUCCUAGUGUAGCGGUGAAAUGCGUAGAUAUUAGGAGGAAUACCAGUGGCGAAGGCGACUUUCUGGACUUAUACUGACACUGAGGAACGAAAGCAUGGGGAGCAAACAGGAUUAGAUACCCUGGUAGUCCAUGCCGUAAACGAUGAGUGCUAGGUGUCGGGGGUCAAACCUCGGUGCCGGAGCUAACGCA
This 760-nucleotide ribosomal RNA is filed under the name uncultured bacterium. RNAcentral's name for it is "bacterial SSU rRNA". It matches the Rfam family "Bacterial small subunit ribosomal RNA", at positions 87 to 859 of the family's 1533-position model. The record is from RNAcentral.